GUGACCUCAAAUCAGGUAGGACUACCCGCUGAACUUAAGCAUAUCAAUAAGCGGAGGAAAAGAAACUAACAAGGAUUCCCCUAGUAACUGCGAGUGAAGCGGGAAAAGCUCAAAUUUAAAAUCUGGCAGUCUUUGGCUGUCCGAGUUGUAAUCUAGAGAAGUGUUAUCCGCGCUGGACCGUGUACAAGUCUCCUGGAAUGGAGCGUCAUAGAGGGUGAGAAUCCCGUCUUUGACACGGACUACCAGGGCUUUGUGAUGCGCUCUCAAAGAGUCGAGUUGUUUGGGAAUGCAGCUCAAAAUGGGUGGUAAAUUCCAUCUAAAGCUAAAUAUUGGCGAGAGACCGAUAGCGAACAAGUACCGUGAGGGAAAGAUGAAAAGAACUUUGGAAAGAGAGUUAAACAGUACGUGAAAUUGCUGAAAGGGAAACGCUUGAAGUCAGUCGCGUUGUCCAGGGAUCAACCUUGCUUUUGCUUGGUGCACUUUCUGGUUGACGGGUCAGCAUCAAUUUUGACCAUUGGAAAAAGAUUAAGGGAAUGUGACAUCUUCGGAUGUGUUAUAGCCCUUGGUUGCAUACAAUGGUUGGGAUUGAGGAACUCAGCACGCCGCAAGGCCGGGUUUUUAACCACGUACGUGCUUAGGAUGCUGGCAUAAUGGCUUUAAUCGACCC
Molecule: ribosomal RNA, 667 nt
Filed under: Cortinarius sp. MLB-2010g
Lineage: Eukaryota; Fungi; Basidiomycota; Agaricomycetes; Agaricales; Cortinariaceae
Description: eukaryotic LSU rRNA
Rfam family: Eukaryotic large subunit ribosomal RNA
Source: RNAcentral